GACGAACGCUGGCGGCGUGCCUAACACAUGCAAGUCGAACGGAGAUUUCAGCAAUGGAAUCUUAGUGGCGAACGGGUGAGUAACGCGUAGACAACCUGCCUUCUAGAUGGGGACAACACUGCGAAAGUGGUGCUAAUACCGAAUGUUGUAUUAAAGAUGCAUAUCUUAAAUACUAAAGGUGGCCUCUAUUUAUAAGCUACCACUAGAAGAUGGGUCUGCGUCUGAUUAGCUAGUUGGUGAGGUAAUGGCUCACCAAGGCGACGAUCAGUAGCCGGUCUGAGAGGAUGAACGGCCACACUGGGACUGAGACACGGCCCAGACUCCUACGGGUGGCUG
RNAcentral lists this ribosomal RNA (336 nucleotides) under uncultured Bacillota bacterium. Its description in RNAcentral is "bacterial SSU rRNA". It matches the Rfam family "Bacterial small subunit ribosomal RNA", at positions 28 to 351 of the family's 1533-position model. Lineage: Bacteria; Bacillati; Bacillota. The record is from RNAcentral.